CGGGCCCUGCACAGCGCCCUGGGGAAGCUGGUUUGAAAGCUCUGGAGCGACCCCAAUGCCGGGGAGCCCUGGAGGGAGGGUGAAGCCGCGCGUGCAGGAGGAACCUCCUUUUGGCGAGUUCAGGCCCCGCAGCUGCGGAGAUAUUUACGUAAUUUCGAAGCAGCUCUUCACAAAAUAUUCAUCAGUUACAGAAGGAAGUCACUUCACAGUGGAAAAAUCUGGCAGGUGCCACCUUAAUCAAGUAACCAAAAUGAACAUCAUCAGUAAUAGGACAAAUUGCAAUCGUGUGCCUCCUGAUAGU
This 301-nucleotide long non-coding RNA is filed under the name Homo sapiens (human). RNAcentral describes it as "non-protein coding lnc-SMYD1-2:2". Lineage: Eukaryota; Metazoa; Chordata; Mammalia; Primates; Hominidae. The record is from RNAcentral.